ACGUUGCCCUCGGUACAUUUAACACCAAGCCCACAGAGGAACAACAAUGGCUUCAGCAAGGCCAUACCACAUCUAAACAUUGCUAGAUUUCUCUCUGGCCAGUUUAGCCGCGCACGACCAGCAAAAGUCAGACAAUUGAAGGUUUUAUAUUUUCCAUCGUGCUCAGCAGUCAGAACUCGGUGGGGCUGCGAGGGGUCAGACAUAUGUAAGGGCUAAAAAGCACACCCGUGGUGCAGACUGCUCACACGUCUGCCGCUGUGCAAUAGCAAAGCAUGUGAGCUCGGUGUAAGAAGGUAGCUAUGGUGCUUCGGUGAGGACUGUUACUGGUUGAGGUUUCCCAAGGGGACGCUACUGAGAAGCUGGCUCACCAAGUCCCGGCCCAGACUGCUGUUGCUCAUCGCGGGGUUGAAAAGGCCUCAGGUGACCCUAAUGCGGAGGAAAAGGAUGAAGCGCACAAAAGUAGCAAAGGCCACGUAAGCGAACCUGUUAUCGAAUGCCGCAUUUCACUUGAGGUCUUGGCAAAGAGGAUCUCCCCACCGGAGUUGGAUAUGAAAGACGAAGACAUGGAAGAACUACGUUUCCAAUCUUUGUCGAAGCAACGAACUAAAAGCCAAAGCAAACAGAGAGGUUUACCGUCUUUUGUGAAAACAAGGGAUCUGCAACAGAGAUCUAGACCCCCUGAUUAAAUCGAGAUCUUCUCCUACACACCCAUUUGUAUAUCUCUUCAAAUCCAAAUGUGUUAUGGUUCAUUAUAGUACAAUGAGUGUGACUUGUACAUUAUUUACAUCCAGUGGCAUACAUUUAGUUUAGCAGAACUAUCGCUGUGUUCUUAGGAUAGAUCUUUUCCAGUCAGAGAAUGAUUUGUUGUUUAAGCAAAAGCAAAGCAAAAUUGUGUUUGAGUGGGUGAAUAAGAAAAUAGUGCCUCUCCAUGGCUAGCAGGUGCAAAUAUCUAAACCACAGUAGGUACACGCGAUUAAUGUAACUCUGGGCCAAUGAAAGAGUCGCCAUUAACAAUCUGACCCAUCAUUUUUCCUUAUUUUACAAGACAGAAAAUCUGUUUGGCAAUUAACAUUUUGUUAAUUUUUUUACUACAUUAUCUAAUAUUGCCUAUUGUAUUUAGGUGA
Oncorhynchus mykiss (rainbow trout) is the source of this 1124-nucleotide long non-coding RNA. RefSeq lists it as uncharacterized. Lineage: Eukaryota; Metazoa; Chordata; Actinopteri; Salmoniformes; Salmonidae. The record is from RefSeq and is a predicted model, not a curated record.